Molecule: long non-coding RNA, 203 nt
Filed under: Mytilus galloprovincialis (Mediterranean mussel)
Lineage: Eukaryota; Metazoa; Mollusca; Bivalvia; Mytilida; Mytilidae
Source: RNAcentral
UUUUUUUAAAAUGAAGCUUGUCGCAUGCAGCAUAAAACAUAGUUUCAACAAUUAUUUUUUUCGUCUUUAUUUUAAAAAUCGUUAUUUUUUCGAAUACGUACAAUAGCAAUGAAUAUGAUAUCACACAAUUAUAUAUUUUGGACUUGCAUCUUGCCAACUACACCGAAUUUCCAAUGAGGUACGAACAUCGCGCGUAACGUCUU